AACGCAUCUUGCGCUCUUUGGUAUUCCGAAGAGCAUGCCUGUUUGAGUGUUGUGUAUAUUUGAUCUUACUUGACUUUUAGGAGUCUUGUUUGAAUUGAUUUGGACUUUACUUUGCUGGCUUGGCCAGCUGGUCCUGAAUACAUUAGCUGGACUUGGAACUAGCAAUUAAUGCUUCGGUUUGACUCGGCGUGAUAAACUCUUCGCUGAGGACAAGUCUGUUGACUUGGCCGGGGUUGCAGUUUGAAGGUCUGCUAUCUAACUGUCUCCUUUGGAGACAAUGCGACUUGUCGCGGCAUCAGCCUCAAAUCAGGUAGGACUACCCGCUGAACUUAA
This 333-nucleotide ribosomal RNA is filed under the name uncultured fungus. RNAcentral describes it as "eukaryotic LSU rRNA". The stretch from base 1 to 52 matches the Rfam family "5.8S ribosomal RNA", at positions 103 to 154 of the family's 154-position model. Lineage: Eukaryota; Fungi. The record is from RNAcentral.